RNAcentral lists this ribosomal RNA (506 nucleotides) under uncultured bacterium. Its description in RNAcentral is "partial 16S ribosomal RNA". It matches the Rfam family "Bacterial small subunit ribosomal RNA", at positions 29 to 523 of the family's 1533-position model. The record is from RNAcentral.
AGUGAACGCUGGCGGUAGGCCUAACACAUGCAAGUCGAACGGCAGCACAGAGGAGCUUGCUCCUUGGGUGGCGAGUGGCGGACGGGUGAGGAAUACAUCGGAAUCUACUCUGCCGUGGGGGAUAACGUAGGGAAACUUACGCUAAUACCGCAUACGACCUACGGGUGAAAGCAGGGGACCUUCGGGCCUUGCGCGAUUGAAUGAGCCGAUGUCGGAUUAGCUAGUUGGCGGGGUAAAGGCCCACCAAGGCGACGAUCCGUAGCUGGUCUGAGAGGAUGAUCAGCCACACUGGAACUGAGACACGGUCCAGAGUCCUACGGGAGGCAGCAGUGGGGAAUAUUGGACAAUGGGCGCAAGCCUGAUCCAGCCAUACCGCGUGGGUGAAGAAGGCCUUCGGGUUGUAAAGCCCUUUUGUUGGGAAAGAAAUCCAGCUGGCUAAUACCCGGUUGGGAUGACGGUACCCAAAGAAUAAGCACCGGCUAACUUCGUGCCAGCCGCCGCAGUAA